Molecule: non-coding RNA, 19 nt
Filed under: Mus musculus (house mouse)
Lineage: Eukaryota; Metazoa; Chordata; Mammalia; Rodentia; Muridae
Also listed under: 1 other name
Source: RNAcentral
CAAUAACAGGUCUGUGAUG